AAGGAGUCUAACAUCUACGCGAGUGUUCGGGUGGCAAACCCGUGCGCGAAGUUAAAGCGAACGGAGGUGGGAACCCUCACGGGUGCACCAUCGACCGAUCCUGAUGUAUUGUGAUGGAUUUGAGUAAGAGCGUAGCUGUUGGGACCCGAAAGAUGGUGAACUAUGCCUGAAUAGGGCGAAGCCAGAGGAAACUCUGGUGGAGGCUCGUAGCGGUUCUGACGUGCAAAUCGAUCGUCAAAUUUGGGUAUAGGGGCGAAAGACUAAUCGAACCAUCUAGUAGCUGGUUCCUGC
Molecule: unclassified non-coding RNA, 291 nt
Filed under: uncultured fungus
Lineage: Eukaryota; Fungi
Description: partial contains 5.8S rRNA, ITS2 and 28S rRNA
Rfam family: Eukaryotic large subunit ribosomal RNA
Source: RNAcentral